This 809-nucleotide small RNA is filed under the name Pan troglodytes (chimpanzee). RNAcentral describes it as "processed transcript". The record is from RNAcentral. Lineage: Eukaryota; Metazoa; Chordata; Mammalia; Primates; Hominidae.
GAUGGUUACUACAAGGAUUGAAGGCAAUGGGCUGGAAACACGCACCCAGCUCAGACCCUGCCUUCAGUCAGUGCCGGAAUCCUUCCUUGACCCCAGCCUCACCGUGAGACACCGGGCCCUUCACUCAGAAAGGCCUCCGUCAGUCAGCACCUUGGCCGCCCACUACCCACCGUCCACCUGAUCAUCACCCUGAGGGAUUACGUCCCCAGGAUCCUGGGACCCGAGGCCUUCCAGCAGUACGUGGGUCCCUAUGAAGGCUAUGACUCCACCGCCAACCCCACUGUGUCCAACGUGUUCUCCACAGCCGCCUUCCGCUUCGGCCACGCCACGAUCCACCCGCUGGUGAGGAGGCUGGACGCCAGCUUCCAGGAGCACCCCGACCUGCCCGGGCUGUGGCUGCACCAGGCCUUCUUCAGCCCAUGGACACUCCUCCGUGGAGGUUACAAUGAGUGGAGGGAGUUCUGCGGCCUGCCUCGCCUGGAGACCCCCGCUGACCUGAGCACAGCCAUCACCAGCAGGAGCGUGGCCGACAAGAUCCUGGACUUGUACAAGCAUCCUGACAACGUCGAUGUCUGGCUGGGAGGCUUAGCUGAAAACUUCCUCCCCAGGGCUCGGACAGGGCCCCUGUUUGCCUGUCUCAUUGGGAAGCAGAUGAAGGCUCUGCGGGACGGUGACUGAUGUGAACGAGUGUGCAGACGGUGCCCACCCCCCCUGCCACGCCUCUGCGAGGUGCAGAAACACCAAGGGCGGCUUCCAGUGCCUCUGCGCGGACCCCUACGAGUUAGGAGACGAUGGGAGAACCUGCGUAG